AACGCCCUGUUACUUAGACAAUGCACUCGUUUUGACCAGAGCCCCCUGACACUGUUUUACACUAUUUGUUAAAGAUGUAGACUACAGAAGGCCUGUUUUGUUUCUCCACAACGGUGUGUGUGUGUAUGAGCGAGUGAGACAGAGACAGAGAAAGGCGAUCAUUUGGUAGUAGGUACUGAUUGGCUCUUGCGGUACAUGUGACAACUGUCCUCGUUUGCAUAUGGACAGGUACGCUAUGGUGAGCGUCGUAGAGAAGUUACCGGGCUGACACCGUGAAUGUAGUUUUAAAGAUAAUCGCGAAAUCUCCUAAGUAGCCCUAGGACAUCGCCAGUCUACACCAAGAGGACUACUGUUUCAUACCGCCCACUGACUUCGGAAAAUAGCUCGUUGUAAUCAGCAGAGACAGGCACCCCUCACUGUCAGUCUGGCUGCUGUGUCCCCAUUGGUCCAGAUGUGAGAGCAAAGACCAGCAGUGUCACCUCUAACCCUCAGGGCCCGUCGUCAUGAACAUGGUGUUGUCGUUACCAAGGCCGUCAUGGGGGGUGUGGUCUGUGUUAGUCCCAGGUCUGGCCCUACUGCUGUGUCUGGCCCUGGCCCUGAUGGGCUGUGUGAUCAGGAAGAAGAGAAGGAUGGAGGGAAUGUAUCGGCCCAGUGCGGAGGAGAGCAAACAGACAGGACCACGGGGGGCUGAGAGACCAGGCCUGCCCCUGCCCAAGGAGGAGAGACUCAUCUGAUACACACACUCUAGCCUGGACGCUGCACACACACACACACACACACACACACACACACACACACACACACACACACACACACACACACACACACACACACACACACACACACACACACAUAUAUAAACCCUCUCUUUUCCUCCCUCUCUCUGUCACUACCAUUGCCUCACUCUCCUCUACCCUGUACAUGAAGCCAGAAUGGGUUAUUGGUAACAAUGUUUUGUAUGUAUUGUGUAAAGGUAUCUGUAUAUGAAGUUUCUUGUUAAAUAUGCCUGAACAUGCCUGGUGGAUGUGCCAUGUUCUCUCCAGUUUCUCCAACUGUGCUGAUGUUGACAUCAGUGUGUCAGCAGGGGAAUGCUGAAUUGUUUACCUGCAGGUGGACUAGUUGUUGACAUGUUUACCUGCAGGUGGACUAGUUGUUGACAUGUUUACCUGCAGGUGGACUAGUUGUUGACAUGUUUACCUGUAGGUGGACUAGUUGUUGACAUGUUUACCUGCAGGUGGACUAGUUGUUGACAUGUUUACCUGUAGGUGGACUAGUUGUUGACAUGUUUACCUGCAGGUGGACUAGUUGUUGACACGUUUACCUGUAGGUGGACUAGUUGACAUGUUUACCUGUAGGUGGACUAGUUGUUGACAUGUUUACCUGCGGGUGGACUAGUUGUUGACAUGUUUACCUGCGGGUGGACUAGUUGUUGACACGUUUACCUGUAGGUGGACUAGUUGUUGACACGUUUACCUGUAGGUGGACUAGUUGUUGACAUGUUUACCUGUAGGUGGACUAGUUGUUGACAUGUUUACCUGUAGGUGGACUAGUUGUUGACAUGUUUACCUGCGGGUGGACUAGUUGUUGACAUGUUUACCUGCAGGUGGACUAGUUGUUGACAUGUUUACCUGCAGGUGGACUAGUUGUUGACAUGUUUACCUGCAGUUGGACUAGUUGUUGACAUGUUUACCUGUAGGUGGACUAGUUGUUGACAUGUUUACCUGUAGGUGGACUAGUUGUUGACAUGUUUACCUGCAGGUGGACUAGUUGUUGAUUAGGUCAGUCAUACAGAGGAAAGGGAAUUUAAAAGUUACUCUAUAUGCAAAAUGUCUCUCUUUAUUAUGGCAGUUAUACUGUUACUUGUAUACAAACCAUGAAUUAAGUUUAUCCCUUGUAUAAAACAUUAGUGUGUGUGUGUGUGUGUGUGUUUUUAUAUCUUGAAAAUGAAGAAUGGUGAGCUAAGACACAAUGAAUGAUUUCUAAUGCACUUCUGAUGAUAUUAUCCAUGUGAAAAAAAUAAAACUCCUCUCAAAAAGUA
Long non-coding RNA from Salvelinus namaycush (lake trout), 2038 nucleotides. RefSeq lists it as uncharacterized. The record is from RefSeq and is a predicted model, not a curated record. NCBI's taxonomy places the organism in Eukaryota, Metazoa, Chordata, Actinopteri, Salmoniformes, Salmonidae. The transcript is spliced from 3 exons.